RNAcentral lists this ribosomal RNA (253 nucleotides) under uncultured bacterium. RNAcentral describes it as "partial 16S ribosomal RNA". It matches the Rfam family "Bacterial small subunit ribosomal RNA", at positions 524 to 776 of the family's 1533-position model. The record is from RNAcentral.
UACGUAGGGGGCUAGCGUUGUCCGGAAUCAUUGGGCGUAAAGCGCGUGUAGGCGGUUCGGUAAGUCCGCUGUGAAAGUCGGGGGCUCAACCCUCGGAUGCCGGUGGAUACUGUCGGACUAGAGUACGGAAGAGGCGAGUGGAAUUCCUGGUGUAGCGGUGAAAUGCGCAGAUAUCAGGAAGAACACCCGUGGCGAAGGCGGCUCUCUGGGACGGUACUGACGCUGAGACGCGAAAGCGUGGGGAGCGAGCAGG